Molecule: small RNA, 27 nt
Filed under: Bombyx mori (domestic silkworm)
Lineage: Eukaryota; Metazoa; Arthropoda; Insecta; Lepidoptera; Bombycidae
Description: ovarian small RNA-12409
Source: RNAcentral
AUCAAUGUGCUUACAGCGUUUGUGAUA